Molecule: ribosomal RNA, 253 nt
Filed under: uncultured bacterium
Lineage: Bacteria
Description: partial 16S ribosomal RNA
Rfam family: Bacterial small subunit ribosomal RNA
Source: RNAcentral
UACAGAGGGUGCGAGCGUUAAUCGGAAUUACUGGGCGUAAAGCGUGCGUAGACGGCUAUCUAAGUCGGGUGUGAAAGCCCCGGGCUCAACCUGGGAAUUGCAGUGGAUACUGGGGAGCUAGAGUGCGGUAGAGGGUAGUGGAAUUCCCGGUGUAGCGGUGAAAUGCGUAGAGAUCGGGAAGAAUACCAGUGGCGAAGGCGGCUACCUGGACCAGCACUGACACUGAGUCACGAAAGCGUGGGGAGCAAACAGG